CAGCAGCCACGGGAAUACGUGGGUGGCAAGCGUUGUCCGGAAUUAUUGGGCGUAAAGGGCUCGCAGGCGGUUUCUUAAGUCUGAUGUGAAAGCCCCCGGCUCAACCGGGGAGGGUCAUUGGAAACUGGGAAACUUGAGUGCAGAAGAGGAGAGUGGAAUUCCACGUGUAGCGGUGAAAUGCGUAGAGAUGUGGAGGAACACCAGUGGCGAAGGCGACUCUCUGGUCUGUAACUGACGCUGAGGAGCGAAAGCGUGGGGAGCGAACAGGAUUAGAUACCCCCGUAGUCCCUGUCUCUUAUAC
Molecule: ribosomal RNA, 301 nt
Filed under: uncultured bacterium
Lineage: Bacteria
Description: partial 16S ribosomal RNA
Rfam family: Bacterial small subunit ribosomal RNA
Source: RNAcentral